This is a long non-coding RNA of Anolis carolinensis (green anole), 1711 nucleotides long. RefSeq lists it as uncharacterized. The transcript has 3 exons. NCBI's taxonomy places the organism in Eukaryota, Metazoa, Chordata, Lepidosauria, Squamata, Anolidae. The record is from RefSeq and is a predicted model, not a curated record.
AGUGAAGGAGAAAUAGCUGGGUCCCCCUUUUUAAAGCCUGAAACCAGCUGGCUUACUGAGGCUUAGGCUUCCCUCUGUGUAAUGAGGGGAAAGCCUGGAUGGUGCAAGGUGUGAUGCAGGUAUCACUGGCAGCAUGUGUGAAGAGGUUCAAGGAGAAAGGAUCCCAGAAAUGAUGGUUUCUUAAGACUGAUGCCCUAAAAAUGACGAAAAGGGAAGCUUAAAGGAAGAUAUUUUGGGAGUGAUUUACAAGGUCUGGGAGCUGCAAAGGAAAGGUGUCAAAAAACUGCAUUCCAGCUAUUUCAUACUCUACUGCGUCUUGACCCAUAAAGAGAUGUUAAAGAACACUUCAGUGCUUGUCAGCUUAUAUACCAUCUUCGGUCUUCAUCUCCUGGUGUGAAUUUAUGUGCAGCAGCAGUAGUACAAGGUAGUUUCUUUCUUAUCUCGAAGGAAGACCACUGUCCAUUUCAUAUGUGCCUUGUGAAGUUUACGAAGGGGGCACAGAGGAAUAUCAAUUUCUCCAGCACUGUCUGCCUUGUUGUGCCAAGCAAGUACUAUCGGAGGAAACAAUGAACUGAACCCUACAACCCUGAGACGACCCAAUACUUGAGGACACAGCAGCCCCUGGCUCUUGUUGUGACAUGACAUUCUCAGUUCGCCUUGUGACCAACCUAAAAGUGCAUUUGAUCACUCAAAACAGCUCUGUAAAGUACAGUAAAUAAAGAGCUCCAUGAAGGAAACUCUAAACACAGAGUAAAACUAGGAUCCCAUUGAGCUUUAGAUAUGAGCAACUGUUCUUUUGUUUUCUGCCUGGUCACUGUAUACUCUAAACACACAAAAGGGACUCCACACAUAACUGUAACCAAAGAUCAUAUUCUCUCUUUUUAAAAAAACAGCCUUUGAAGAAGAGAGGAUUUAAUGAAGUGAUUUAGAGAUCUGGAUUCUACAAGAACUUUUAAUGGAAAUUGUAUGGGUUGACCUUUCAUUUUCCAUCUUGAAACAAGGGUUAGAUAGACUUAAAAAUAAGGAUAAGAAAUAUGCUACUUUGAAUGAGUAGCACCAUUAUUAUUUUUUGGCUCUUUUAAGAGUCUGAGACCUUGUCUACAUGAGCCGAAUAGCCCACACUCACCAUGAAGUUGUUCCUACCUUUCAUCAGACACCUAGAGACUUCCAUUUCUUAUUACUGGGUAAACCAUGUUAAUCCAUUUUAGCCUGAUAUUAAGGAAAGUUGAGUGAUGCUAUGGGGUUUGGCAGAAUCUCCCAAAUAACUACUACCCCUCUGGACAGUACAAUUGGGUCUGAUGUGGACCAGUCUGUUGUCCACAUAGGCUGCUGCCACCAGCCCCUUUUCCCUGUGAUCACCAGCAUAUGGAAAAGGUGAUGGAUUGGACUCAUGUCACUGCUGCUAGACAGCAACAGAGUUCAUUAAGAGCACCUGGUUGUCAUAGGUGCCCUAUGGUGGCAUCAGGAGAGGCACCUACAUGACCAUGGAAAAGGAUGAGGACAACAAGAAGAUGAUGGUCUAAUACAGGGGUCCCCAAAAUAAGGCCCAUGGGAUGGAUGUGGUUCCCCAAAAUCAUUUACCCAGCCCCCAACUAAACUGUAGACUUGGGAUCACCCUAAAUCUGAAUCGAUUUGAAGGAACACAACAACAACAAUCCUGAUUAACUUGACUAUCUCAUCAGCCAAAAGCAAGCCCACACUUCCCAUUGAA